AGAGUUUGAUCCUGGCUCAGGAUGAACGCUAGCUACAGGCUUAACACAUGCAAGUCGAGGGGAAACGAUAUUGGAAGCUUGCUUCCGAUAGGCGUCGACCGGCGCACGGGUGAGUAACGCGUAUCCAACCUGCCCACCACUUGGGGAUAACCUUGCGAAAGUAAGACUAAUACCCAAUGAUAUCUCUAGAAGACAUCUGAAAGAGAUUAAAGAUUUAUCGGUGAUGGAUGGGGAUGCGUCUAAUUAGCUUGUUGGCGGGGUAACGGCCCACCAAGGUAACGAUCAGUAGGGGUUCUGAGAGGAAGGUCCCCCACAUUGGAACUGAGGCACGGUCCAAACUCCUACGGGAGGCAGCA
Molecule: ribosomal RNA, 356 nt
Filed under: uncultured bacterium
Lineage: Bacteria
Description: bacterial SSU rRNA
Rfam family: Bacterial small subunit ribosomal RNA
Source: RNAcentral